GAAAAUGUGUUGCCGGGGCCCAUAAUCCCGGCACUAACCUUCUUAUCCAUAACACCUGUGCACUGUUGGAUGCUUGCAUCCACUUUUAUACUAAACAAUUUGUAACAAAUGUAGUCUUAUUAUAAUUAAUAAAACUUUUAACAACGGAUCUCUUGGCUCU
RNAcentral lists this unclassified non-coding RNA (160 nucleotides) under rhizosphere metagenome. RNAcentral describes it as "partial ribosomal RNA internal transcribed spacer region". The record is from RNAcentral.